ACAGUCGACGGCCUGGCCCCCUCGCCCUGCCUCCCCCGGCGGGGUGAAGCUGGGACUCAGAGCUAGCCGCGCCGCAGCGCAGAGAAGCCGGGGAAGCCAGCCGCCGCAGCGUCCCCGCCGGCGGGACGCGGAGACAGGGAGCAGCCGCGGCGCUCUCCUGCCGCAGCCCUGCCGGCGCAGUGCGGUGAGGGGCGGUGGCACCGCGGCGGCGGGGAGCCCCCGGGGGGCGGUUGGGCAGUGGGGCCAUGGCGCUGCGGGCCCGGGCGCUGUACGACUUCAGGUCGGAGAACCCGGGGGAGAUAUCGCUGCGAGAGCACGAGGUGCUGAGCCUCUGCAGCGAGCAGGACAUCGAGGGCUGGCUGGAGGGGGUCAACAGCAACGGCGACCGCGGCCUCUUCCCGGCCUCUUACGUGCAGGUGAUCCGCGUCCCGGCCGCCGAGCCGCCGCCCGCCCGCUACGCCAACCUCCCCGCCGGUGGCUUCGAGCUGCUGCCGCCCCCCGCCGUCUUCAAGCCGGCGGCGGCGCCCGAGCCCUUCUCGCUGUCCCCCGCCGCCGGGUAUCCCUUCCCGCUGGCGCCCUACGGCAGGUCCUACCAGCCCAGCCAGGGCAGCGAUGACGACUGGGACGAUGACUGGGAUGAAAGCUCCACGGUGGCCGAUGAGCCAGGUGCUCUGGGCAGCUCCUACCCCAACUACGAGGCAGCAGGCAGCUGGGCCUCUGGCCACUACUGCCUGUCUACGCGGUCCGAGUUGUCCCUGAGCUCCCGUGGUGGCCAUAUGGCAGGCCACCUGCACCCGCCUGGCAGCGGCGCCAAGAGCUCAGCCACAGUGAGCCGCAACCUCAACCGCUUCUCCACCUUUGUCAAGUCUGGCGGGGAGGCCUUUGUGCUGGGUGAGGCAUCAGGCUUUGUAAAGGAUGGGGACAAGUUGUGUGUGGUGCUGGGCCCCUGGGGCCCCGAGUGGCAGGAGAACCCCUACCCCUUCCAGUGCUCUAUCGAGGACCCCACCAAGCAGACCAAGUUCAAGGGCAUGAAGAGCUACAUCGCCUACAAGCUGGUGCCCAGCCACACCAGGCAGCAGGUGCACCGCCGCUACAAGCACUUUGACUGGCUCUAUGGGCGCCUGGCUGAGAAGUUCCCUGUCAUCUCUGUGCCCCACUUGCCGGAGAAGCAGGCCACCGGACGCUUUGAGGAGGACUUCAUCUCCAAACGUCGCAAAGGCCUGGCCUGGUGGAUGGACCACAUGUGCAGCCACCCUGUGCUGGCUCAGUGCGAUGCCUUCCAGCACUUCCUCACCUGUCCCAGCACAGAUGAGAAGGCCUGGAAACAAGGCAAGCGCAAGGCUGAGAAGGACGAGAUGGUGGGUGCCAACUUUUUCCUGACCAUCAGUGUCCCCACUGGCCCUGGGGCAGGCCUGGACUUGCAGGAGGUGGAAAGCCAGGUGGAUGGCUUCAAAGCCUUCACAAAGAAGAUGGAUGAGAGCACCCUGCAGCUUAAUCACACGGCCAACGAGUUUGCCCGCAAACAAGUCACUGGUUUCAAGAAGGAAUACCAGAAGGUGGGGCACUCCUUUAAGUGCCUCAGUCAGGCGUUUGAGCUGGACCAGCAGGCCUUUUCGGCUGGCCUCAACCAAGCCAUAGCCUUCACUGCAGAAGCCUAUGAUGCCAUCGGGGACCUCUUUGCAGAUCAGCCCCGGCAGGACCUAGAUGCUAUGAUGGAUUUGUUAGCACUGUAUCAGGGGCAUUUGGCCAACUUUCCAGACAUCGUCCACGUCCAGAAAGUGCUAGACCUAAAAGAUGCCUUCUUUGUAUCCCCUUGGAAGAAGAAAGCCAGAAGAUAUUUGCUUUUGAAUGGGAAAGUCCUACCACAGGGAGGAAAAUACAAUUCUGCUGGACCGUGCUGCCACAAGGAUUCAAGAAUAGCCCGACAUUGUUUGGUAAUGUACUUGCCAAGGAAUUGGAAAAUUGGCAAGAUGGAAGUAGCUUCAUGGUGAAUUGGGAACGGAAAGCUGGGUAUGCCGUGGUAACCCUACAAGAGGAGGUUGAAGCACGAGUAUUGCCACCCAAUACCUCCGCUUAGAAAGCAGAGAUCAUAGCUCUAACUCAAGCUUUGGAGCUAUCCAGAGAUAAAAAGACUCGUCAGUACAUGAAUUUCAACCUGGAGAUGCAGUUUAUAUCCGCACCUGGAAAGAUGAGCCUUUGAAAGAAAAAUGGAAAGGACCUUACCUGGUGCUACUUACCACUUAUACUGCUGUGAAAGUGAAAGGUAUAGAUUCAUGGAUACACUAUACCCACGCGAAGAAAGCUCCACAGAAGGAGUGGAUCUCUGAAGAAACGGGACCACUGAAGCUGAAACUCUCGGUCCCAGUGAACUGUAACUGGGACUCUGAGAAGUCAUAUAUUGAGCUAGAUUGCUAGAUUGUACGCAAGGCCUAGUAUCUUUGUAUUGCAUUUUGAUAGUUAUUUUCAUACCUUUGUUAGUGUAUUUGUGUAAGUAUACAGAUUUCUUUAGAAAAGAAAUGAAGGAACUAAGGGGGGUAAUAUUCCUCUGUUGCCUAUGGAUAUGGAUAAAGUUAAAAGAUGCCCGAGUGUCUUGUGGGGAACCAGGAAAUCCAUGGGAAAAGAACUUGCAUUUUGAAUUAUUGCAGAAAACAGUACAAAUGGCGAUCAAGUCUAAUUUUUGGAUCUGUACUCAUUUCCCCGAGCAUUCUAACAAAGGUGUUCCUUUAAUAGGAAUACUCCUCAAUUUCUCUUUCCCGGAAUUUGUAAAGUAUGUGCAGAAUAACAAUGACCAAACAUACGAUGAUACAAUAGAGCAAGAAUGGAAAGUUCACAAUCUACCAGGAAAUUAUUAUCAAUGUCUAGAGAGAUGUAAUCAUAACACAGACUGGCCACCAAGACCUAAACUUAAUUGUACUGGAGCUAUAUAUGUAGGAGAACAUGCAGAUUGUUCCAAAGGUACAUUUGAAAUCUGAUACCGAAGUUGGUCUGAAAAACAAAGAACUGGCUGGCGGGUUCUGAAGGGAAGUGGUUGGUAUUGGCUUUGUGGUGACAAGGCUCAUAAAACCCUACCUCCUAAUUGGUCAGGAACAUGUACCUUAGGAGCAGUAGUACCUAAUAUCACAAUAAUUGAAAAUUUAGGAUCUCAAAUAUGGACGAGAACCUACCUUCGAAGGAGUAAAAGAACUGCUAAUCCAUUGAUUGAUAGACCCACAGGAUUUCACUCCUUCGUGAGGUGGUUUAUUCCCUGGUUAGGAGUUAGCGAGUUAGAGAAAGCUAUAGUAAAUAUUUCAGUCAUAAUUGAGAAAAUUGGGAACGAGACUUACGAUGCUAUAAAAGCCCUACAAGAAGAAGUGUCUGAAUUGGCUAAAAUUACUUUACAAAAUAGAAUGGCUCUUAAUAUGAUGCUAACCUCCCAAGGAGGAGUGUGCACAGUUCUAAAUACUGGUUGCUGUGUAUAUGUGGAUCAGAGUGGUAGAAUUUCUACAGACUUAGAAGAAAACUGGAAACAAACUAAAAUACUUCAUGAAAUACAAAAGGAUGACACAUCUUACAGGUUUGAAGAAACGUUUAAGUGGUUGACUUCCUGGUUCCCCAAUUUAAGUUUGUGGGUAAAAAGGUUAUUGAACUAUAUAAUAAUUGCUUUAAUAGCUUUUGUGUGUAUUUAUGCAUUGGUAUCUUGUGUUACUAAAUGUUGUUCUAAGGUUUAUGAGAAAAUAAUUUGAGGUGAGACUGAUAUAAGAGAAACCACAUUGAGGUUCCUCUUUUAUAAUCUCAGAGGGGGGAAAUGUAGUCAUAUGUUUGAGUUACGGCCUAGCUGUGGUGCAAUUCAGGGUUAAACAUGAUGCAUUGUCCUUUAAGGAGGACCAGUACUCCAUAGCUUCACUAUGCAAGCCUGAUUACUUUGUAUAAACUAUGCAUGCUUUGCUAAUGACUAUGCCCUUGGAGAGGGAACUAAAGACUGAUAAAAGGAAACAUCCUGCCCCAGAAGGCACUGGGAAGGCCGGAUGACUGCUGAAGAAGCAUGAACUAAGGGAAAGGUAAAGGUGGCAGGGGGAGAUCGUGACCACCGACUCAAUUCAAGGCUGGAAGAACUUGCCCCCCCCACCUGCAAGGAGCGUGCAUGCUAAUUUAAAUAUAACUGACCAAUAGUAGAUGAGAGGGUGACUACUAACCAAUGAAUGUAAAUUUAGGCAGGUUUUUACUGAUCAUGUAACAGAAUAAAUACAUUGCAGUUCUUUGGUGUGGUGUGCCAGCUUUGUGGAGUCACCACCUGGCACCCAUCUCUGCGCAGACAUGAAAUAAACAAAUAUCUUGGCUCUGUGUGUAAGAUUGGCUCAUUGCACACUGGGUACUGAACCCCGCUUAUGGGACAACAGAGCCAGGCCCUGCCACCACCUCAGAGCCCCCGGGGAGAGUUGCUACUCUUGGCCUCCAGUCAGCUCUUCAGAGCACCGGGUUCAGAGCGUGGCCUCUGCCACUCAAAUACCAGUGUCUUCAGCCAUGUAGUCUUCAGUCUACACUUACCUUCUUAAUAACUUCCCUGCCACAGUUCAAAAUAGAAAAGGAAAAUCUUCUGUAUGGUCUUACUGCAAGUAUGUCCCACUGGAGGGGAAUUUCUUAUACUUGCGACUCAGAGCUCGUACCAGGACUGCAGACAGGAGAUGCCACGUAGAGCACAGCCUAAAUGUAAAUUAAGGAGAAAAAUAUGAUUUUAAGAGUAGAGAAAUACUGAUAACAGAGGAAUUAUUUUCCAAGUAUUUGCUAUUAAAAACACCCCCCGGCCCAGUUAACAAGUUGUUGUUAGAAGUUGAGUGAAGAAAAAUCAUGCAUGCUUCUCUGAAUUUAGGAAUUCCAGAUUUUAUUUAUAAUGCAAGGCACAACCCCCAUUACAUUUCAAAAAUGCAACAAACUCUUUUUCCACAAGUCUGCCAAAUCAGCUGGUAUUUUAACUUGCCUCUAGUAAGAGCAUACCUUGACCCUCCAUUCUAUCUGACUGCCUGGUGAGGGGUUGGAGAUGGGCAGGGGAUAAGCUGCAGCAGGAAGGGGAAUGUGAGAAGCGGGAAUGAAAUGCAGUGAGCAGCAGCUGUGCUGCCCGCUUCCCUCCCAACUUGCUGCCCAUAGAGCAAACCCAGACACUGCUGCGCACAAAGUCAUGUUCUAAAUCUGAAUUGCAGAGAUGUGUCAGGGCGCUGGGAGAAAGCGUGUUUGAAAUGGCGUAUUAAACAGGCAGAAGGAGGAAAGGACAGAAGAUAAUACUACUGCUGAUGAUCUUCAUUUUUACUUUUUAAUGGUGUUUACUACAUGUGUGGAUUAAGGCUGACAAGAAGACAAACCUGCUUCCCCAGCAGACAGUGGAGCUUGUCCUCCUGAAAGAUAUAGGCAGAGAGGUUUCUCUGUUAGCUUGCUGGUUAGUGUCACUGUAGGGAGUACAGAAAAGCAUUUCUUCAAGGCAAUGUAUAGGGAGUUCUGUCAGUGAACUGUAGUCAUUUGUAUGGUGUAUUGGGUUUGCGUGGCAAGGUUUUGGUAGCUGGAGGGCUACAGGGGUGGCUUCUGUGAGAAGCUGCUAGAAGCUUCCCCUGUGUCCAAGAGAGCCAAUGCCAGCCGGCUCCAAGAUGGACUCACUGCUGGCCAAAGCUGAGCCAAUCAGCGACAGUGGUAGUGCCUCUGCGAUAACAUAUUUAAGAAGGGGAAAAAACUGCUGCACAACAGCAGCCGGAAGAGAGGAGUGAGAAUAUGUGAGAGAAACAACUGUGCAGACACCAAGGUCAGUGAAGAAGGAGGGGGAGGAGGUGCUCCAGGCACCGGAGCAGAGAUUCCCCUGCAGCCCAUGAUGAAGACCAUGGUGAGGCAGGCUGCCCCCCUGCAGCCCAUGG
Harpia harpyja (harpy eagle) is the source of this 5873-nucleotide RNA transcript. It is a transcript of the gene named sorting nexin-18-like, with no coding region annotated. The record is from RefSeq and is a predicted model, not a curated record. NCBI's taxonomy places the organism in Eukaryota, Metazoa, Chordata, Aves, Accipitriformes, Accipitridae. The transcript is spliced from 4 exons.